GAAACACCCCUAUGGAGCAGGGCUUGCUUCAGUGGGGUGUUGGUGCUCACUGAGUCUGCCUCUUGGGUGUGUCAUCU
This 77-nucleotide microRNA precursor is filed under the name Myotis davidii. RNAcentral describes it as "mir-9229 microRNA precursor family". It matches the Rfam family "mir-9229 microRNA precursor family". The record is from Rfam by way of RNAcentral. Lineage: Eukaryota; Metazoa; Chordata; Mammalia; Chiroptera; Vespertilionidae.